GACAGAGGGUGCAAACGUUGUUCGGAUUUACUGGGCGUAAAGCGUGUGUAGGCGGCUUUGUAUGUCGGAUGUGAAAGCCCACGGCUCAACCGUGGAAGUGCAUCCGAAACUGCAUAGCUUGAGUCCCGGAGAGGAAGGUGGAAUGCUUGGUGUAGAGGUGAAAUUCGUAGAUAUCAAGCAGAACACCUGCGGCGAAGGCGGCCUUCUGGACGGUGACUGACGCUGAGACACGAAAGCGUGGGGAGCAAACAGG
Molecule: ribosomal RNA, 253 nt
Filed under: uncultured bacterium
Lineage: Bacteria
Description: partial 16S ribosomal RNA
Rfam family: Bacterial small subunit ribosomal RNA
Source: RNAcentral